This 834-nucleotide ribosomal RNA is filed under the name uncultured bacterium. RNAcentral's name for it is "bacterial SSU rRNA". It matches the Rfam family "Bacterial small subunit ribosomal RNA", at positions 70 to 896 of the family's 1533-position model. The record is from RNAcentral.
ACGAUGGGAGCUUGCUCCCAGGCGUCGAGUGGCGGACGGGUGAGUAAUACUUAGGAAUCUACCCAGUAGCGGGGGACAACUCGGGGAAACUCGAGCUAAUACCGCAUACGCUCUACGGAGGAAAGCAGGGGAUCUUCGGACCUUGCACUAUUGGAUGAGCCUAAGUCGGAUUAGCUUGUUGGUGAGGUAAAGGCUCACCAAGGCGACGAUCCGUAGCUGGUCUGAGAGGACGAUCAGCCACACUGGGACUGAGACACGGCCCAGACUCCUACGGGAGGCAGCAGUGGGGAAUAUUGGACAAUGGGGGCAACCCUGAUCCAGCAAUGCCGCGUGCGUGAAGAAGGCCUGCGGGUUGUAAAGCACUUUCAGUAGAGAAGAAAAGCCUAGGGUUAAUACCCCUGAGUCUUGACGUUACCUACAGAAGAAGCUCCGGCUAACUCCGUGCCAGCAGCCGCGGUAAUACGGAGGGAGCGAGCGUUAAUCGGAAUUACUGGGCGUAAAGCGCACGUAGGCGGCUUUGUAAGUCGGAUGUGAAAGCCCCGGGCUUAACCUGGGAAUGGCAUUCGAUACUGCAUAGCUAGAGUAUGGUAGAGGGAAGUGGAAUUUCCGGUGUAGCGGUGAAAUGCGUAGAUAUCGGAAGGAACACCGAUGGCGAAGGCAACUUCCUGGGCCAAUACUGACGCUGAGGUGCGAAAGCGUGGGUAGCAAACAGGAUUAGAUACCCUGGUAGUCCACGCCGUAAACGAUGAGAACUAGAUGUCGGGGAGGAUCUGCCUUUCGGUGUCGCAGCUAACGCGUUAAGUUCUCCGCCUGGGGAGUACGCCGGCAACGGUA